RNAcentral lists this ribosomal RNA (468 nucleotides) under uncultured bacterium. RNAcentral's name for it is "partial 16S ribosomal RNA". It matches the Rfam family "Bacterial small subunit ribosomal RNA", at positions 28 to 507 of the family's 1533-position model. The record is from RNAcentral.
GACGAACGCUGGCGGCGUGCUUAACACAUGCAAGUCGAACGGAAAGGCCCUGCUUUUGUGGGGUGCUCGAGUGGCGAACGGGUGAGUAACACGUGAGUAACCUGCCCUUGACUUUGGGAUAACUUCAGGAAACUGGGGCUAAUACCGGAUAGGAGCUCCUGCUGCAUGGUGGGGGUUGGAAAGUUUCGGCGGUUGGGGAUGGACUCGCGGCUUAUCAGCUUGUUGGUGGGGUAGUGGCUUACCAAGGCUUUGACGGGUAGCCGGCCUGAGAGGGUGACCGGCCACCUUGGGACUGAGAGACGGCCCAGACUCCUACGGGAGGCAGCAGUGGGGAAUAUUGCACAAUGGGCGGACGCCUGAUGCAGCAACGCCGCGUGCGGGAUGACGGCCUUCGGGUUGUAAACCGCUUUCGCCUGUGCCGAAGCGUGAGUGACGGUAAUGGGUAAAGAAGCACCGGCUAACUACGUG